This 303-nucleotide long non-coding RNA is filed under the name Brassica napus (rape). RNAcentral's name for it is "long non-coding RNA (BNAP_LNC002128)". Lineage: Eukaryota; Viridiplantae; Streptophyta; Magnoliopsida; Brassicales; Brassicaceae. The record is from RNAcentral.
GAAACGAGUGUAGAGAGUAAGAGAUUAGAUCAAGAGUCUAAGAGAAACGCCAUGGAGGCUAAGAAUACUCAGAACUGUCUAAUCUUAUUAAUGAGACUGAGUUACAUAUAUAUAGUGUCGAGAUUAGGGCUUUACAAUACAAGAGGAUAAGCUAAAGCAUGUGUAGUCAAAGAAGGGUGGAGCGCUUAGUUUGAAAUGAUCCAAUGAGGUUCUCCACAUGUGUAAGGCAUCUAGGAUCUUGGAUAAGAUCCCUUUUACCUUUCCAGCUGUGCCAGACUGUCACGCCCAGCUUCUUCCUUUCCC